This 966-nucleotide long non-coding RNA is filed under the name Rattus norvegicus (Norway rat). Its description in RNAcentral is "long non-coding RNA NONRATT024140". The record is from RNAcentral. Lineage: Eukaryota; Metazoa; Chordata; Mammalia; Rodentia; Muridae.
ACUUGACAACAUUUUGAAGAAGUUGCAAGUAACUGAAUAUGGACAACUACAUCGUUAAACUGUGCAAAAUUCUCGCCUGGAAGGUGGAGUGCUUGACACGCACGAUUCUCAUUCUCUUGUAUACAUUAUCUGAUGCUCCUGCUAAUAAUUUGCCAUUAUAAAUGCUUGACAUUAUUUGGUCAAUAUAAGGGUUUUCUGGAGAACUAGUAUCAUUUCCUAAGGAGAUAAAUGUGCAGACCCUUACUGAAAAGCAAGCUUUAAUGUCUCAUAGUUAUGACUGUGAAAUCAUUAAUAAGAUGAAAAGUGAAAAGUUUAAUGUUUUCUUAUCUACUCAUUGAGCCAUCUAAGUUUUAAUUGUUUAUAUUAGUGAGAUAAUCUUAUUCAUAAAACUUUAGGUCUAUUUUCUCUUUUAUAAUAUGAACCAGCCUUAUUAUCAAGAGUGCAAAUUUUAUGAAAAAUUCACACAUACGAAGAUAAAAUAAUUAAACAGAGAAUUUAGAAUUGUUUAAAUUCUUUUGUUGGAAUAUUAUUAAAGCUACAAUCAAGGAAUUAUAACACAUGUACCUAAAAAUAAUUUACACAGACUAAGUGGAUGUUACGUGAUACUUUUAAUUCAUCAACGACAUAGAAACAAACAACUAAAGAGUACUGGCUAUGAACUUAUGGUGCUAAGAUUUUUGCCAAUGGAAAAAAAAUUUGAAUUCUAUCAUUUUGUUUUAGCAUGUAAUGUAAUUGGUGAAAUUACAUAAUUAUAAAAUUAGUACAAGCAACAAGGUAUAAUAUUAUCUUUUAAAGAAUGUCUGUAAUAAGACUAAUUUUUUCACUCAAAAUAUAAUGAAUACAUGUAUUUUUUAAGUGCAGCUGAGAACUUUUGGAAUGGAACAAUUCUUUAAAUUUUGUGCUACUUGAUCUGUGUAUGUUUGUAUUGUUUUUAACAUAAUAAAAGUUCCUAUCUUUCUACAUUAA